GUACGUUUGUGGGCGUAGCCACCAGCCAACAGGAAAAUACCUUUUCCGAUCAUUAUAACAACAGAGGUUGUUUUGUUCGAGAAUAAAAUGCAUAAAAUAAAAGUAAAUUGAAAAUCAAA
Drosophila miranda is the source of this 119-nucleotide long non-coding RNA. RefSeq lists it as uncharacterized. The record is from RefSeq and is a predicted model, not a curated record. NCBI's taxonomy places the organism in Eukaryota, Metazoa, Arthropoda, Insecta, Diptera, Drosophilidae. The transcript has 2 exons.